CAGUAGCCGCGGGAAAACAGAGGGUGCGAGCGUUAAUCGGAUUUACUGGGCGUAAAGCGUGCGUAGGCGGCUUCUUAAGUCGGAUGUGAAAUCCCUGAGCUUAACUUAGGAAUUGCAUUCGAUACUGGGAAGCUAGAGUAUGGGAGAGGAUGGUAGAAUUCCAGGUGUAGCGGUGAAAUGCGUAGAGAUCUGGAGGAAUACCGAUGGCGAAGGCAGCCAUCUGGCCUAAUACUGACGCUGAGGUACGAAAGCAUGGGGAGCAAACAGGAUUAGAGACCCCGGUAGUCCCUGUCUAUUAUAC
Molecule: ribosomal RNA, 301 nt
Filed under: uncultured bacterium
Lineage: Bacteria
Description: partial 16S ribosomal RNA
Rfam family: Bacterial small subunit ribosomal RNA
Source: RNAcentral